Molecule: ribosomal RNA, 385 nt
Filed under: uncultured crenarchaeote
Lineage: Archaea; Thermoproteati; Thermoproteota
Description: bacterial SSU rRNA
Rfam family: Archaeal small subunit ribosomal RNA
Source: RNAcentral
UACCAGCUCUCCGAGUGGUAGGGAUGAUUAUUGGGCUUAAAGCGUCCGUAGCCGGCCUAGCAAGUCUUCCGUUAAAUCCACCGAUUCAAUCGUUGGACUGCGGGAGAUACUGUUGGGCUAGGGGGCGGGAGAGGCCGACGGUAUUCUCGGGGUAGGGGUAAAAUCCUAUAAUCCCGGGAGGACCACCAGUGGCGAAGGCGGUCGGCUAGAACGCGCUCGACGGUGAGGGACGAAAGCUGGGGGAGCGAACCGGAUUAGAUACCCGGGUAGUCCCAGCUGUAAACGAUGCGGGCUAGGUGUUGGGGCGGCUACGGGCCGCUUCAGUGCCGCAGGGAAACCAUUAAGCCCGCCGCCUGGGGAGUACGGCCGCAAGGCUGAAACUUAA